AGGUGAACCUGCGGAAGGAUCAUUACCGAGUGAGGGCCCUUUGGGUCCAACCUCCCACCCGUGUUUAUUUACCUCGUUGCUUCGGCGGGCCCGCCUUAACUGGCCGCCGGGGGGCUCACGCCCCCGGGCCCGCGCCCGCCGAAGACACCCCCGAACUCUGCCUGAAGAUUGUCGUCUGAGUGAAAAUAUAAAUUAUUUAAAACUUUCAACAACGGAUCUCUUGGUUCCGGCAUCGAUGAAGAACGCAGCGAAAUGCGAUACGUAAUGUGAAUUGCAAAUUCAGUGAAUCAUCGAGUCUUUGAACGCACAUUGCGCCCCCUGGUAUUCCGGGGGGCAUGCCUGUCCGAGCGUCAUUGCUGCCCUCAAGCCCGGCUUGUGUGUUGGGCCCCGUCCUCCGAUUCCGGGGGACGGGCCCGAAAGGCAGCGGCGGCACCGCGUCCGGUCCUCGAGCGUAUGGGGCUUUGUCACCCGCUCUGUAGGCCCGGCCGGCGCUUGCCGAUCAACCCAAAUUUUUAUCCAGGU
RNAcentral lists this ribosomal RNA (522 nucleotides) under Penicillium expansum. RNAcentral describes it as "eukaryotic LSU rRNA". The stretch from base 201 to 353 matches the Rfam family "5.8S ribosomal RNA". The record is from RNAcentral. Lineage: Eukaryota; Fungi; Ascomycota; Eurotiomycetes; Eurotiales; Aspergillaceae.